This is a long non-coding RNA of Arachis duranensis, 607 nucleotides long. RefSeq lists it as uncharacterized. The record is from RefSeq and is a predicted model, not a curated record. NCBI's taxonomy places the organism in Eukaryota, Viridiplantae, Streptophyta, Magnoliopsida, Fabales, Fabaceae. The transcript has 3 exons.
CUUAGUCAUUGAUUAAUUCAACGCUUCGUGUAGGUCUUACUCUUCUUUACUUGUGCAUUGAUGCUUCAUCUUCUGUCCCAACGAUUCUUAGUAUUACAUAGCGCAAGUGACUUAAAGGUAUUCAUCUAAGGUUUGAAGACACUACUGAGAAGAAAAUAUUAGGAGAUGCUUCUUGUUCUGAUUCAUUUAACUCAAAGGAAGCAGAUUUGGAGUGCAAUUAUUUAACAAGAAUCAGUUGUUUGGGGGAGGCUAUGUUGCUUAGACUGGUGUGAUUCAUACUAAUCAUCACUCAUUGUAGGACAGGAAGAAUUCUAGUGUUCAACACAAGACAUAACUGUAGAUAACCGAUUUUGUUCCUGCUGCUUAUCUCAUAUUUUUCUCUGUAUAUACUCAUUUUGAGUAAGAUAAGAUAAAAAGGCUAUAUUGCUAUAGUGAGAUAUCAUUUAUUUAAUCUUUGGGGCCAAGAUCGAAGGAAAUGGUAAACCUUUGAACCCUCCGGAUUUUGUAAGUAACAUGUAAAGCAAAGUUGUUAUAGAAUAUAGGUAGAAUCAAAGAAUGUCUUGUUAUGUAUUAUAUAUUAUUGCAAGUGUUCCACUUACCCUUAAGA